GUGGCCCAGGGCGUCGUCGGAAUGCGCGCACUUUUGUACUGCCCGCCCAGCUGACUCAAUCCCACGUUGCCAGACGAAAAAAACUGCGGCGUCCAGAAGUGGCGAAGCAUCCAGGAGAGGUGAAGUGACCAAAAACGGUAUUGAUAGGCCGCAGUUCGUUGACGAAAUUGCGCCGAGCCAGGGGGAGCUUGUACCGUUGUGCCAUUCACGCAUGGGUGUCAUCGGGACCGGCCGCAUCGAAGAAACGGACCAUGGACGGCCAUUGAAGAUCGGCAACAGGACCUGUAUAAGCAUCAGCAGCCUACAAUUGCUUGGCGUCUCAAGCCCUAAACGCGACGUCGCCUUAUGCUAUGUGGCUUAACAUGUCGGAUGAAUACAGACAUGCAGCGCAAGGAGUAUUGUUAUGCCUAUGGAAGGGUGUUCUCAGUCGCGGCGUUGACGGACCUGCCAUCGAUGAUGCUGUUGCCUUUACACGAAGAGCUGUUCUCACUUUUGGAUGGACCUAAAUUAACUGACGUCACCUGGAAAAUAUACAGCGCCAAGCAAUCACAAUGCUGAUGUUCAAGACACCUCAGUACUGUGUUAGGUUUAAUGCGGACAGCUACUGUGUGUUUUACAGUCACUAUAGUGCGACAUAUUGUAGUAAAUAAACGUAUUUACAGCAUUACAAAUAAAAUUUUUUGUCAUGAAA
Dermacentor andersoni is the source of this 691-nucleotide RNA transcript. RefSeq lists it as uncharacterized. NCBI's taxonomy places the organism in Eukaryota, Metazoa, Arthropoda, Arachnida, Ixodida, Ixodidae. The record is from RefSeq and is a predicted model, not a curated record.